Molecule: long non-coding RNA, 1391 nt
Organism: Alosa sapidissima (American shad)
Lineage: Eukaryota; Metazoa; Chordata; Actinopteri; Clupeiformes; Clupeidae
Exons: 2
Source: RefSeq, a predicted model, not a curated record
UUUUAUGAGAGGUGUGAUUUCCCGUUGUGAGUUAUACUAAUUUGGUGGGGAGCGAAGGAAUGCAUCACACGACUUCAACAGCGAAAGCAGAGUGGAUGACGCUUCUGACGUCUCCAAUGGAAUUCCAGUCGGCAGUCCUCGAACCCAUCAUGCAGCGUAGCCUUGUCUGCGCACCCGCUUUCACAUUUCAGUAGGAGAAAGACUAUGGUGUGGGACAGAGAAGUUUUUCUUUUCAAAACUUCGGAUUGCAUCUAUGUCCAUCAACUAGGGACUGUCUGGCAAAAAAAAAACUUACUCUUCAAAGGUUCAGUACUGCAGCGGAAUCAGCCUGGGUCUUAGAAUUGCAAAUGUCUCUUGGAGUGGAAGGAGUCCAGUUAAAACAUUAUGGACUUCAGAUCUACAUAUGGGACGCAUUCCAAAGCUUUUAAAGACAGGUGUGUCUCCGGGUUUGGAGAUGAAUGUUCAUUCCACAUGCACAAUUUACAAAAAAACAUAAAUAUCUAUUUGAUCAGACUAGCUUUUUUUUAGGAACUUGCUGUGGCGUUUCUGUUUAAACUUCUCAUGAGACUGAACAGAGAACGCCCUGUCUGAAAAAGGUCAACAUUUGCAUGCAUAUAAUUAUACUUGAAACGUAAUUACCAUUUGAAUGAUAAGCACAGAUACUGAACUAUUACUUAGUGGAAGUUUCAGUUAGUCACUGGCCCGAUGUUUUCCUUUUCAAAUCUGUACCACUGCUACUAUCGUACUAUUUGCUACUUCCCUCAAUUUGACCUCAUGGACUUGCCAAUAUUGAGGAUUAUGUUGUCUUACUGUUUUUAUGACAAAUAAAAAACCUGGUGAUUAUGAACACAUCUUAGGAGGAUGUGUUGUGGGAGAGGCUGUUUACUGUUUGUCCCAUUGUUGGAUUAUCAUGGAUAUUGCUGUCUGGAUGUCUGAACUGUGGGUUGAAACGAGUGAGCGGUUGUUUGUGAAUCUCUUGGCAUGACUCCCGUGCCUGCUGUGCUGACAAGCAGUGUGUUUCUAACUGGCUCAGUUCAGCAGGAACAGGGGCUCUGUCUCCUCAGCCACGCAACACUGGAGGAGGUGCCACUCGGGGAAAAGCAACAGACGCAUGAGGUAUAUGAUAUACAUUCACACACAUACAGCAAUAAUUUUAUCUAUUCCAGUGGUGCAAGUUAUCAUUUAUGUCCAUUUUGGAGAGAAUAUUUAAGCAUGAAUUUAGUACACUUAUAUGUUGUGGUAAUGUUCUGUAGCAAUACUGCAUACACUUAUUUCACAACAAAAUUAAACUUUUGCAUUGGUGUUAAAGUUUGGUGCUUGUAUUUGUACUAUACAUUUAUGAUGGUGCAUUUGUAAACUGCUCAUUUUACACAAUAAAUUUGUUCAUCAUC